AUAAAAAAUUCUGUUGCAAGUCUACACUCUAAGUACACCAGCACUACAUGACUUUUACUUGGUGGAAAGGUUUAUUUCUUGUUUGGGAACUGUUAAAUGUGUAAGGGACAGCUCAUCCAAACUUUUACAUUUGAUCAGUGGGGCCUGAGGCUGGACAACAAGCUGUGACACUUGUUUGAGAAAAUACAGCUGGCAUGGACUUACAUCUUGCAAUUGUGAUUCCCUCGUUGUGCGUAGCCCUGGCCCUGUGGAUUUUAUGUUGCUAUCUUGGAAGGAGGAGCAGAGAGGCAGAGGACUGGGCCCCGAGGCCCGCCGACCCUCAGUCUGUAUACAUCAUCCCCAUAUAUGGGGAGGAGCGGGAGGACGAGGAAGCAAUGGAUAUAUAUCAAGCAUGUUUUCAACCUAAUUACAGGGACCCGCCCAUGUACUGCUCAGGAAAUGUCAGCCCACCUCCUCCAUACAGGUUUGAACCACCAUCCUAUCAGGACCCACCACCAUCAUACACAGACCUCCUUCACCUCCCUCCUCCUUCACACCAAACCCACUGCUAGCCAGAGCGCGCUGCACCUUGUGUCACAGGGCAGGUCUACGGAAUCCAGCCAAGAGUCAAUAACACUUUUGACAUUGUGAAAUGAUGUUGGGAAAUAAUUUCAAAACACAUGGUUGUAGAUACGCCUCUGUGAAUCUGUCAGAACCGGCGAGUUAAGAUUGUGAAUGUGAUGUCAGAACAAAUUGAAUGCACAAAUAAUGUCAGCGGUGAGGUUACACAAUCAGGGCCAAAAGUUGCAAUUUAAAUGUACUUUUGUGAAUCCAUCCUCAGAUUCUCUAAAAGUCUUUGUGCAACUACACAGCUGAUAUUUUUCAAUGGGUCUCUUCCUUUUUGAUUCUUAUCCAAGCCCAUAGAGUAAGGUUUAAAGGUGCAGUAUGUAAGAUUUUCAGUUUAAAAAAACAAAAAAACAAACCCAGAUUAUCAAUAUAAGGUGAAGAAAUACAAGUUUUAAUGUCAUCUAAAUAUUGUGUCAAAGCACUACUAGGAAUGUUUUUGUGUUAAUGAGGCCGUCUCAUGAUUUCUCUGCUGUUACACGUCAAUUAUGAUCAUCAGACGAGACUGUCCACGAAAAGACUGCUGUUUUUAUAUAGUUAUCAUUAAUGCCUGUGCUCAGGUCCAAUCACAUACAUCACAAAUAAAUACAGUACCUCAUCGCGAUCCAUCCAGCGAUCUCUCCGUCACCUCGCUUCCAAAACAAAUGCACGCACCGCCGACACGCCCUAGCAAGGGUCUUUACAACAGCAGCCACUGGUGUCAUUCCGCUUUUGUCUAAAGGAGGCGCUGGAACCAACAAAAA
Acanthopagrus latus (yellowfin seabream) is the source of this 1346-nucleotide long non-coding RNA. RefSeq lists it as uncharacterized. NCBI's taxonomy places the organism in Eukaryota, Metazoa, Chordata, Actinopteri, Spariformes, Sparidae. The transcript is spliced from 4 exons. The record is from RefSeq and is a predicted model, not a curated record.